This 497-nucleotide ribosomal RNA is filed under the name uncultured bacterium. Its description in RNAcentral is "partial 16S ribosomal RNA". It matches the Rfam family "Bacterial small subunit ribosomal RNA", at positions 28 to 507 of the family's 1533-position model. The record is from RNAcentral.
GAUGAACGCUGGCGGCGUGCCUAAUACAUGCAAGUCGAGCGAACAGACGAGGAGCUUGCUCCUCUGACGUUAGCGGCGGACGGGUGAGUAACACGUGGAUAACCUACCUAUAAGACUGGGAUAACUUCGGGAAACCGGAGCUAAUACCGGAUAAUAUAUUGAACCGCAUGGUUCAAUAGUGAAAGACGGUUUUGCUGUCACUUAUAGAUGGAUCCGCGCCGCAUUAGCUAGUUGGUAAGGUAACGGCUUACCAAGGCAACGAUGCGUAGCCGACCUGAGAGGGGGAGAGGACACAGUGGAAAGGAGACACGGACCAGAGGACUAAGGGAGGCAGAAGUAGGGAAUCUGCCGGAAUGGGCGAAAGACGGAAGGAGAAACGGGGCGUGAGGGAGGAAGGUUUUAGGAGAGGAAAACUCUGUUAGGAGGGAAGAAAAUAUGUGUAAGUAAAUGAGCAAAGAGUGAAGGUAACUAAGAAGAAAGACAAGGAUAACUAAGGG